AUUGAGCGCUGGCGGCAUGCCUAACACAUGCAAGUCGAACGGCAGCACAGUCUAGCUUGCUAGACGGGUGGCGAGUGGCGAACGGGUGAGUAACGCGUAGGAAUAUGGCUUAAAGAGUGGGACAACUUGGGGAAACUCAAGCUAAUACCGCAUAAGCUCUUAGGAGGAAAGCUGGGGACCUUCGGGCCUGGCGCUUUAAGAUUAGCCUGCGUCCGAUUAGCUAGUUGGUAGGGUAAGGGCCUACCAAGGCGACGAUCGGUAGCUGGUCUGAGAGGAUGACCAGCCACACUGGGACUGAGACACGGCCCAGACUCCUACGGGAGGCAGCAGUGGGGAAUAUUGGACAAUGGGGGCAACCCUGAUCCAGCAAUGCCGCGUGUGUGAAGAAGGCCUGAGGGUUGUAAAGCACUUUCAGUGGGGAGGAGAGAUGUCAGGUUAAGAGCUGGACAUUGAGACGUUACCCACAGAAGAAGCACCGGCUAACUCCGUGCCAGCAGCCGCAGUAA
Molecule: ribosomal RNA, 506 nt
Filed under: uncultured bacterium
Lineage: Bacteria
Description: partial 16S ribosomal RNA
Rfam family: Bacterial small subunit ribosomal RNA
Source: RNAcentral